This 204-nucleotide unclassified non-coding RNA is filed under the name Hevea brasiliensis (rubber tree). The record is from RNAcentral. Lineage: Eukaryota; Viridiplantae; Streptophyta; Magnoliopsida; Malpighiales; Euphorbiaceae.
GGGCCCAACCAGCUGCAGCUUUUACGAUAGAGAACUCAGUUGGGAGAGGGAAAGGCUUAGGAAUUUCCUUAAUAAUAAAAAUUAAAAAGAAAAUGCAGGUUAGUUCAAGCAAAAUAAAAGAUGGAUAUGAAGUGAAAUUGUAGUAUUACAUAGCGCUACCCUACCCCAUGCUUCCCGGAUGUCACAUAGCUUUGACCUAGAUCG